Molecule: long non-coding RNA, 475 nt
Organism: Anser brachyrhynchus (Pink-footed goose)
Lineage: Eukaryota; Metazoa; Chordata; Aves; Anseriformes; Anatidae
Source: Ensembl
UCUCCUUCUAAUGUGUGCUCAAGGACGAGAUGGGACUGAAGCCUGCCACGAAGUAUGGAAACAAUCCUUUUGAGUCUUGGUCUCCAGUAAGAGAUAUUCACCACUGAUGCUGGACGUCCAUGGACCUCCAAAAACUGCAAAAGUUCUGGCAUGGAAAUCAGGAUGUCCAGCAGAUUUUAGAGAAGCUUCAGAGAGAUGGGACUGGAGAACGCCUAUGUUAUCGUCAGCUGGCCACUGCACGAAUUUCCACUCCCGUGAGUUCUGCCCACGACACAUUACUCUUGGUUUAUAUUAACAAGGAGGUUAAGAUGCAGCUUUGUAUUAGCUUUAUAAGUGAUGUGUAAACAUACUAUAUAAUCAAUAUUGAUGUUGCCUUUCCAAUUAUUGGACAUCAUUCCUAAUCCUUUAUUUACUGUGUUAUAAGUUGUAUUAUAUUUGUUUAAAAAAAAAAUAAAUCCAGAACAUGAUAUGGUCA